This 440-nucleotide ribosomal RNA is filed under the name uncultured bacterium. RNAcentral's name for it is "partial 16S ribosomal RNA". It matches the Rfam family "Bacterial small subunit ribosomal RNA", at positions 338 to 795 of the family's 1533-position model. The record is from RNAcentral.
CCUACGGGAGGCAGCAGUAGGGAAUAUUGCUCAAUGGGGGAAACCCUGAAGCAGCAACGCCGCGUGGAGGAUGAAGGUUUUCGGAUUGUAAACUCCUUUUGUUAGAGAAGAUAAUGACGGUAUCUAACGAAUAAGCACCGGCUAACUCCGUGCCAGCAGCCGCGGUAAUACGGAGGGUGCAAGCGUUACUCGGAAUCACUGGGCGUAAAGAGCGCGUAGGCGGGAUAGCAAGUCAGAUGUGAAAUCCUAUGGCUUAACCAUAGAACUGCAUUUGAAACUGUUAUUCUAGAGUAUGGGAGAGGUAGAUGGAAUUCUAGGUGUAGGGGUAAAAUCCGUAGAGAUCAAGAGGAAUACUCAUUGCGAAGGCGACCUGCUGGAACAUAACUGACGCUGAUGCGCGAAAGCGUGGGGAGCAAACAGGAUUAGAUACCCCUGUAGUC